RNAcentral lists this transfer RNA (73 nucleotides) under Myotis brandtii (Brandt's bat). It matches the Rfam family "tRNA". Rfam says of the family: Transfer RNA (tRNA) molecules are approximately 80 nucleotides in length. Lineage: Eukaryota; Metazoa; Chordata; Mammalia; Chiroptera; Vespertilionidae. The record is from Rfam by way of RNAcentral.
GCCCGUUUGGCUCAGUGGAUAGAGCAUCAGGCUAUGGACUGAAGGGUCCUGGGUUCGAUUCCAGUCAAGGGCA